UACGUAGGCAGCGAGCGUUGUUCGGAAUUACUGGGCGUAAAGAGUGUGUAGGCGGUGCUCUAAGUUCGGUGUGAAAUCUCCUGGCUCAACUGGGAGGGUGCGCCGGAAACUGGAGUGCUUGAGCGUGGGAGAGGAAAGCGGAAUUCCUGGUGUAGCGGUGAAAUGCGUAGAUAUCGGGAGGAACACCGGUGGCGAAGGCGGCUCUUUGGUCCACAACUGACGCUGAGGUGCGAAAGCCAGGGGAGCAAACGGG
This 253-nucleotide ribosomal RNA is filed under the name uncultured bacterium. RNAcentral describes it as "partial 16S ribosomal RNA". It matches the Rfam family "Bacterial small subunit ribosomal RNA", at positions 524 to 776 of the family's 1533-position model. The record is from RNAcentral.